This 167-nucleotide unclassified non-coding RNA is filed under the name uncultured Paramyrothecium. RNAcentral's name for it is "sequence contains ITS2". Lineage: Eukaryota; Fungi; Ascomycota; Sordariomycetes; Hypocreales; Stachybotryaceae. The record is from RNAcentral.
CAACCCUCAGGCCCCCAGUGCCUGGUGUUGGGGAUCGGCAGCAGGGCGUCAAGCCCGCCGUCCCCGAAAUCUAGUGGCGGUCUCGCUGUAGUCCUCCUCUGCGUAGUAGCACAACCUCGCAGCUGGAACGCGGCGGUGGCCAUGCCGUUAAACACCCCACUUCUGAA